Molecule: long non-coding RNA, 2948 nt
Organism: Ictalurus punctatus (channel catfish)
Lineage: Eukaryota; Metazoa; Chordata; Actinopteri; Siluriformes; Ictaluridae
Exons: 3
Source: RefSeq, a predicted model, not a curated record
UACACAAAAAAGUCUUAACAUCCAAUGCAUGUUUGAUUUUCAUGUUAAUUUAUAUUUUAAGGCAAUUUAGUUGUUUUUUGCUGUUGCAUGUAACAUCAGACCACUAGACGUGAAGGGUUCUAAUACGAUGAGGGCAUUUCUAUCCCCAACAUGUGUAGGGUCAAUCCUAUCAACAUUGAGCAAGAUCAAGCUGGAUUUUGGCAUCCCCUCCAGUCUCUAAUGGAGACUAUUGGAGCUUAUGGCAGCAGCAGCAAUUGAGAUGUGUUGUCAAGUGACAUGUGUUUACAGACAACACAUCAGUGGUCUCAUAUACUGACCACCAGGGAGGAUUACGUCCGUGCCCCCUGAUGCAACUAAUUUUUUUCUGGGCAUAGGGAAAGUUUUGGCAGUGAGUGCAAUGUAUAUUCUGGGCAACUGGAUUGUGGGGGCAAACAUCCUGUUGAGGCAGGGGCUGAGGCACAGGGAUUAGUGGCUCCAUCCACAAGUGGGGGAGUCCGUAUGGAGGAGAUUUGGCCAAGUGGGACUGCAUGUGUUCACCUUCAAGGAGACAACACACUUCCCAGGCUGGACGCCAUUGUGCACAUGUGGCAGAGGUCACAUCCGUACGCUUUUCUUCCUAUCGCACAGUUCGCAAGUUCUAGCGAUAGUUCACCAAGACAGUCUACGUCUGCUGCUAGUAGCACCUUAUUGACCAGCUUGAAUGGCAAGUGGUACGUAAAUGUGUUGUUAUUUAUAAGUAUUCGCGCCUAUGUAUGAUGUGUUAUGUAUGUGUAGAAUGAUUAUGCUUUUAUUUUACACAAAGGAUCGAACUGAGGUGGUGCGGUUCCACGAGUCAGGUCGGAUAACCCUGUGCUCAGUAAGUAUUGUAAUAGUUAUUUGACGGCUAUGUUUGAAUGUGGUCUUAUGCUGUUUAUUAUGUUUUUGUUUGUUUGCGUUUACUGCUCAAGGAUUGUCAAAUCUUGUAAACAAGAUCAACGAUCCAGAGUUCAGAAACCGUGUGGUGGGUGCUAGUGAUCGGUGCAUAUCAACAGAGUCUAGAAGGAAUAAGUGUAAAACAGUUACGGUCGCACAGGUACAUGCGCCGACUGCCGAUUGUUUGAGAGACACAGACUUAGUGACGCCUACAACGCCUCAGUGUAAGCGCUCAAGACGUUCCCCAGGACUGGCAGAUGAAUCAGUUGUGAAUGAACGGAUGCUGCUGAACCGUGUGAUAUAGAUUACGUUUUGAACUGGGAUCACAAGUUGUUAGAAUUGUGGGACACUUGUGCAUUUUCCCAGGCUCAUGGAGAAACGCAUGCCUGACUGCGGGAGACAAUGACUCUGAGGCUCUACCUUCAAACUAAGAAGCUUAUAAUCACGAGUCACUGGCUGUUAUAGACAAUAGAGCCUUAUUUGAACUAAUAGAAAACGGGUUCAAGACCGUCGAGGGGUGUAUUGCAGACCUUGAAAAGCCUUCUGUUGUCGUCGAGGAGCGUCUGGACAGCAUUGAGAAGAAGCAGAAUGUUUAUAAUCAAUCUGUGAUGGAGACUUUACAGCAACACACCAUCUCACAUAAACAUAUUAUAGCUACACAGAGACUCCAUGCUGGGGAGAAUCGCCACGUUGGUCAUGACCAAAACCUGAUGACAGAGUUGUUAAAACAGGUUGUACACAUGCUUUAAAAAAAACUAACUCCGAAUACUUUGACUCACCAUGGAUGCAGCAGGAAGACGGCGUGGACAUCAUGCCAGGGAAAUCAAGGAAACUGUGCCAGCCUUGGAUUCAGUCCAUUUUCCUCAACGCACUGCCAUGAAGCUCCCAGAUCCUUAUGAUGGGUUUUUUAGCUAUCUUGAAUAUUUUCUUGUGGACUGCCAGUUUUAUUUUGCUAGUCUAGCAGACCCCAAGCUGGAGGAGAAGGAAUGGCUCAAGUUCAUGUGGUCCCGGUUCUUUGUACAUCCCUGCCUGCCUGCCAGGGAGUCAGGGAACUUGGGAAUGUAAUCCAGUUUGUGGGAAUUUUUAUGACACUGUUCGGGAGUCCAGAAUCUAAACCCAACCUGGAACAUUUUUUUUUUUGGGGGGGGGGUUCAGCCUGGCAGAUAAACCUGCCUUGACAUUCAUCACCUAUUAUAUGUAGGCAAAGAGGAUGGCCCCCACACCAGAGCUCCAACCUGAGACCCAUGAAGUGGUCUCAGCCACAGAGCUCCAGCCAGAGGUCAACAUGGUGACCUCUCAAGCCCAGUUCCUGUCUGAGGUCAAAGAGACGACCUCUCAACCCCAGCUCCUGUCCGAGGUCAAAGUGAUGACCUCUCAAGUCCAGUAUCUUUCCGCGGUCGACGAGAUGGCGUCUCAUGCCAAGUUCCUGCCCAAAGUCGAAGAGACAAUCUCUCCUGCCAAAUUCCUGUCCGAGUUCGAAGAGACAACCUCUUAAGCCAAGUCCCUGUCUGCGGUGGACAACGUGAUCUCUCACACCAAGUUCCAGUUUGAAACUGACGCCACGACCAUCCAAGUUAUGCUCACACCUGAUAUCGACGUCACGACCAACCAGGUUGUGCUCAUGCCAGAGUCUGUUGACAUGACCAACCAAGAUCUCCUGCUGCCUGAAGCUGACGUCACGACCAACCAGGUUCUGUGAGCUAGCAUUUGGCUGAAUUGAGAUGUCAGCCAAUAAGACACUAUUAUUUCUGGCUGGUCUUGCCUCUGUUCACAUAAAAUACUAUUUUAAUAAAAUACAACACUUUUUGAUAAAAGUGUAUUUUGAUCAAAUACAACACUUCAUUCACUUAAGAUAUUGGUAUGAUAGCUUUAGGACUGCAAUUGCCACAAACAGUUUUGCAAUCAAGUCUCGGUCAGUGAACAGUGGAUUCGCUCAACAAAACAGACUUCACGUACAAACUGUAUAGACAAAAUCUUCAUCCUCAUAGCCAUCAUCCAUUUUUGCAGUCUGUGGGCACAGUAUUCUUUCUGCAAUU